GUAGGUGGCAAGCGUUGUCCGGGAAUUAUUGGGGCGUAAAGCGCGCGCAGGCGGUUCUUUAAGUCUGAUGUGAAAGCCCACGGGCUCAACCGUGGAGGGUCAUUGGAAACUGGAGAACUUGAGUACAGAAGAGGAAAGCGGAAUUCCACGUGUAGCGGUGAAAUGCGUAGAGAUGUGGAGGAACACCAGUGGCGAAGGCGGCUUUCUGGUCUGUAACUGACGCUGAGGCGCGAAAGCGUGGGGUGCAAACAGGAUUAGAUACCCUGGUAGUCCACGCCGUAAACGAUGAGUGCUAAGUGUUAGGGGGUUUCCGCCCCUUAGUGCUGCAGCUAACGCAUUAAGCACUCCGCCUGGGGAGUACGGCCGCAAAGGCUG
This 375-nucleotide ribosomal RNA is filed under the name uncultured organism. RNAcentral describes it as "partial 16S ribosomal RNA". It matches the Rfam family "Bacterial small subunit ribosomal RNA", at positions 527 to 896 of the family's 1533-position model. The record is from RNAcentral.